RNAcentral lists this ribosomal RNA (483 nucleotides) under uncultured bacterium. RNAcentral describes it as "partial 16S ribosomal RNA". It matches the Rfam family "Bacterial small subunit ribosomal RNA", at positions 28 to 507 of the family's 1533-position model. The record is from RNAcentral.
GACGAACGCUGGCGGCGUGCUUAACACAUGCAAGUCGAACGCUGAAGCUCAGCUUUUGUUGGGUGGAUGAGUGGCGAACGGGUGAGUAACACGUGAGUAACCUGCCCCCUUCUUUGGGAUAACGCCCGGAAACGGGUGCUAAUACUGGAUAUUCACUGGUCUUCGCAUGGGGGUUGGUGGAAAGGGUUUUUCUGGUGGGGGAUGGGCUCGCGGCCUAUCAGCUUGUUGGUGGGGUGAUGGCCUACCAAGGCUUUGACGGGUAGCCGGCCUGAGAGGGUGACCGGGCACAUUGGGACUGAGAUACGGCCCAGACUCCUGCGGGAGGCAGCAGUGGGGAAUAUUGCACAAUGGGCGCAAGCCUGAUGCAGCGACGCCGCGUGAGGGAUGGAGGCCUUCGGGUUGUGAACCUCUUUCGCUCAUGGUCAAGCCGCAACAAUGGUUGUGGUGAGGGUAGUGGGUAAAGAAGCGCCGGCUAACUACGUG